Molecule: ribosomal RNA, 301 nt
Filed under: uncultured bacterium
Lineage: Bacteria
Description: partial 16S ribosomal RNA
Rfam family: Bacterial small subunit ribosomal RNA
Source: RNAcentral
CAGUAGCCGCGGGAAUACGAAGGGGGCUAGCGUUGCUCGGAAUUACUGGGCGUAAAGGGCGCGUAGGCGGACAGUUCAGUCAGGGGUGAAAGCCCGGGGCUCAACCUCGGAAUUGCCUUCGAUACUGGCUGUCUUGAGUAUGAGAGAGGUGUGUGGAACUCCGAGUGUAGAGGUGAAAUUCGUAGAUAUUCGGAAGAACACCAGUGGCGAAGGCGACACACUGGCUCAUUACUGACGCUGAGGCGCGAAAGCGUGGGGAGCAAACAGGAUUAGAGACCCCGGUAGUCCCUGUCUCUUAUAC